AGGACGAACGCUGGCGGCGUGCCUAACACAUGCAAGUCGAACGCGCUCCAUUCGGUAGCAAUACUGAUGAAGAGCGAGUGGCGAACGGGCGAGUAGCACGUGAGCAACCUGCCCCGAAGACUGGGACAACACCGGGAAACCGGUGCUAAUACCGGAUAUCCCUAUCGGACCGCAUGAUCUGAUAAGGAAAUGGAUUCCGCUUCGGGAGGGGCUCGGCGGCCUAUCAGCUAGUUGGUGAGGUAACGGCCCACCAAGGCGACGACGGGUA
This 268-nucleotide ribosomal RNA is filed under the name uncultured bacterium. RNAcentral describes it as "partial small subunit ribosomal RNA". It matches the Rfam family "Bacterial small subunit ribosomal RNA", at positions 26 to 285 of the family's 1533-position model. The record is from RNAcentral.